This 194-nucleotide ribosomal RNA is filed under the name uncultured bacterium. RNAcentral's name for it is "partial 16S ribosomal RNA". It matches the Rfam family "Bacterial small subunit ribosomal RNA", at positions 338 to 524 of the family's 1533-position model. The record is from RNAcentral.
CCUACGGGAGGCAGCAGUGGGGAAUUUUGGACAAUGGGCGAAAGCCUGAUCCAGCCAUGCCGCGUGCGGGAAGAAGGCCUUCGGGUUGUAAACCGCUUUUGGCAGGAACGAAACGGCGCUGACUAACACUCGGCGUUAAUGACGGUACCUGCAGAAUAAGCACCGGCUAACUACGUGCCAGCAGCCGCGGUAAU